GGGCCGUUAGCUUAGCCUGGUUGGAGCGCUCGACUGAUAAUCGAGAGGUCCUGAGUUCAAAUCUCAGACGGCCCAC
This 76-nucleotide transfer RNA is filed under the name uncultured archaeon. RNAcentral's name for it is "tRNA-Ile(gat)". It matches the Rfam family "tRNA". From Rfam's summary of the family: Transfer RNA (tRNA) molecules are approximately 80 nucleotides in length. Their secondary structure includes four short double-helical elements and three loops (D, anti-codon, and T loops). The record is from RNAcentral.